GACUACUGGGGUAUCUAAUCCUGUUUGCUCCCCACGCUUUCGUGCCUCAGCGUCAGUUACAGUCCAGAAAGCCGCCUUCGCCACUGGUGUUCCUCCUAAUAUCUACGCAUUUCACCGCUACACUAGGAAUUCCGCUUCCCUCUCCUGCACUCUAGCCCUCCAGUAUUAGAUGCACCCCCCAAGUUAAGCCCGGGUAUUUCACAUCCAACUUAAAAGGCCGCCUACGCACCCUUUACGCCCAGUAAUUCCGGACAACGCUCGCCCCCUACGUAUUACCGCGGCUGCUGGCACGUAGUUAGCCGGGGCUUCCUCCUUGGCUACCGUCAUUUGUUUCGUCACCAAGGACAGAGGUUUACAACCCGAAAGCCUUCUUCCCUCACGCGGCGUUGCUGGGUCAGGCUUGCGCCCAUUGCCCAAUAUUCCCCACUGCAGCCACCCGUAGG
RNAcentral lists this ribosomal RNA (443 nucleotides) under uncultured Eubacteriales bacterium. RNAcentral's name for it is "uncultured Clostridiales bacterium partial 16S ribosomal RNA". The record is from RNAcentral. Lineage: Bacteria; Bacillati; Bacillota; Clostridia; Eubacteriales.